RNAcentral lists this small nucleolar RNA (107 nucleotides) under Sungouiella intermedia. RNAcentral describes it as "Candida intermedia Small nucleolar RNA snR73". It matches the Rfam family "Small nucleolar RNA snR73". Lineage: Eukaryota; Fungi; Ascomycota; Pichiomycetes; Serinales; Metschnikowiaceae. The record is from Rfam by way of RNAcentral.
GUAUAUGAUGAUUUACCACAUUAUCACGACGGUCUACUGUGCUUGGUGAAUUGUAAUCACCUUGCCGUGAUGAUAUAAUCGGCCUUGACCGGCCGUGGUUCCUGAAA